GACGAACGCUGGCGGCGUGCUUAACACAUGCAAGUCGAGCGAUGAAACACCUUCGGGGUUCACGAGUGGCGAACGGGUGAGUAACACGUGGGUGAUCUGCCCUGCACUUCGGGAUAAGCCUGGGAAACUGGGUCUAAUACCGGAUAGGACCCUGGGAUGCAUGUCCUGGGGUGGAAAGCUUUUGCGGUGUGGGAUGGGCCCGCGGCCUAUCAGCUUGUUGGUGGGGUGAUGGCCUACCAAGGCGACGACGGGUAGCCGGCCUGAGAGGGUGACCGGCCACACUGGGACGAAGAUACGGCCCAGACUCCUACGGGGGGCAGCAGUGGGGAAUAUUGCCCAAUGGGCGCAAGCCUGAUGCAGCGAGGCCGCGUAAGGGAUGACGGCCUUCGGGUUGUAAACCUCUUUCAGCACCGACGAAGCGCAAGUGACGGUAGGUGCAGAAGAAGGACCGGCCUACUACGUGCCAGCCGCCGCCGUAA
Molecule: ribosomal RNA, 479 nt
Filed under: uncultured bacterium
Lineage: Bacteria
Description: partial 16S ribosomal RNA
Rfam family: Bacterial small subunit ribosomal RNA
Source: RNAcentral